GUUGAACUCUUCAUCAAGUUUCUUUUGAAUAUUAAAUCCCCCAGCUCCGGCUCUGUGCGUGUCUCCACCAGCCGCUUCAAUAGCCACCGGUGAGUUGUCAUUGCUACCAUAGCUCCGACUAGCAACCAGCCGCCACCAACAGCUAUGGCCGGACUUUGGCGAAAACAACUACCCUUUUCCGGCGAACCAGCCACCGCGCUGCCCUCCCUCUCUUCCUCUUCUCUUUUCUGUCGCAUGUCGCCGGAUGGGACGACCGGCGGGCUCCCAACGCAUCACCACCGCCUCUAUCUCACCCGAUUUAGCCUGAUUUGGGCAAAAUUUUAUUUCUCCGGCGUUGCUACGUUGAACACCGUUGAAGCAACGCCACUAAUAGUCUUUGAUGUCUCCGAAUCCAUGAUUUAUUUAUUUUUAUGUUAUUUUUCAAAGGAAAACAGAUUUGUGCAUUACUUGUACUCCAAUAAUAUUUGAUUAGUUUGGAUUGCUUCUCAAUAUUUUUUUAGUGACCUUGAAUUUUCUAACAAGAACUUGAUCUUCUCCGAUGAAGAUUACUGUUUGUGGGUUCUAUUAACGAUUCAUUUUGGUGAUUGUUGCUCUAUUUUAGUGUUGCUUCUGAUAUUUG
RNAcentral lists this long non-coding RNA (619 nucleotides) under Capsicum annuum. Its description in RNAcentral is "long non-coding RNA (CANN_LNC016281)". Lineage: Eukaryota; Viridiplantae; Streptophyta; Magnoliopsida; Solanales; Solanaceae. The record is from RNAcentral.